This 384-nucleotide ribosomal RNA is filed under the name uncultured bacterium. RNAcentral's name for it is "bacterial SSU rRNA". It matches the Rfam family "Bacterial small subunit ribosomal RNA", at positions 28 to 417 of the family's 1533-position model. The record is from RNAcentral.
GACGAACGCUGGCGGCGUGCUUAACACAUGCAAGUCGAGCGGUAAGGCCCUUCGGGUACGACGAGCGGCGAACGGGUGAGUAACACGUGGGUGACCUGCCUCUAGCUCUGGGAUAAGCCUGGGAAACUGGGUCUAAUACCGGAUAUGACUCCACGGCGCAUGUUGUGGGGUGGAAAGCCUUGUGUGGCUAGAGAUGGGCCCGCGGCCUAUCAGCUUGUUGGUGGGGUGAUGGCCUACCAAGGCGACGACGGGUAGCCGGCCUGAGAGGCGACGGCCACACUGGGACUGAGACACGGCCCAGACUCCUACGGGAGGCAGCAGUGGGGAAUCUUGCGCAAUGGGCGAAAGCCUGACGCAGCGACGCCGCGUGAGGGAUGACGGCCU